AUCUACAGCCAUACCACCCAGAAGGCUCCCAAUCUCGUCUGAUCUUGAAAGCUGAGCAGGGUUGGGCCUGGUUAAUACUUGGAUGGUAGAAAACAGUGUGAAGUCGAGG
This 109-nucleotide ribosomal RNA is filed under the name Castor canadensis (American beaver). Lineage: Eukaryota; Metazoa; Chordata; Mammalia; Rodentia; Castoridae. The record is from RNAcentral.